RNAcentral lists this ribosomal RNA (698 nucleotides) under uncultured bacterium. RNAcentral's name for it is "bacterial SSU rRNA". It matches the Rfam family "Bacterial small subunit ribosomal RNA", at positions 134 to 852 of the family's 1533-position model. The record is from RNAcentral.
UACACACGGAUAACAUACCGAAAGGUAUGCUAAUACGGGAUAAUAUAUUUGAGAGGCAUCUCUUAAAUAUCAAAGGUGAGCCAGUACAGGAUGGACCCGCGUCUGAUUAGCUAGUUGGUAAGGUAACGGCUUACCAAGGCGACGAUCAGUAGCCGACCUGAGAGGGUGAUCGGCCACAUUGGAACUGAGACACGGUCCAAACUCCUACGGGAGGCAGCAGUGGGGAAUAUUGCACAAUGGGCGAAAGCCUGAUGCAGCAACGCCGCGUGAGUGAUGAAGGCCUUCGGGUCGUAAAACUCUGUCCUCAAGGAAGAUAAUGACGGUACUUGAGGAGGAAGCCCCGGCUAACUACGUGCCAGCAGCCGCGGUAAUACGUAGGGGGCUAGCGUUAUCCGGAUUUACUGGGCGUAAAGGGUGCGUAGGCGGUCUUUCAAGUCAGGAGUGAAAGGCUACGGCUCAACCGUAGUAAGCUCUUGAAACUGGGAGACUUGAGUGCAGGAGAGGGGAGUGGAAUUCCUAGUGUAGCGGUGAAAUGCGUAGAUAUUAGGAGGAACACCAGUUGCGAAGGCGGCUCUCUGGACUGUAACUGACGCUGAGGCACGAAAGCGUGGGGAGCAAACAGGAUUAGAUACCCUGGUAGUCCACGCUGUAAACGAUGAGUACUAGGUGUCGGGGGUUACCCCCUUCGGUGCCGCAGC